UACGAAGGGGGCGAGCGUUGUUCGGAUUUACUGGGCGUAAAGGGCGCGUAGGCGGCCUUGUCAGUCAGGCGUGAAAGCCCCGGGCUCAACCUGGGAACGGCGCUUGGGACGGCGAGGCUGGAGUUCGGGAGAGGAGAGUGGAAUUCCCAGUGUAGCUGUGAAAUGCGCAGAUAUCAGGAGGAACACCAAUGGCGAAGGCAGCACUCUGGGACGUGACUGACGCUGAGACGCGAAAGCGUGGGGAGCAAACAGC
Molecule: ribosomal RNA, 253 nt
Filed under: uncultured bacterium
Lineage: Bacteria
Description: partial 16S ribosomal RNA
Rfam family: Bacterial small subunit ribosomal RNA
Source: RNAcentral